This 674-nucleotide ribosomal RNA is filed under the name Inocybe jacobi. RNAcentral's name for it is "eukaryotic LSU rRNA". It matches the Rfam family "Eukaryotic large subunit ribosomal RNA", at positions 1 to 653 of the family's 3401-position model. The record is from RNAcentral. Lineage: Eukaryota; Fungi; Basidiomycota; Agaricomycetes; Agaricales; Inocybaceae.
UUGACCUCAAAUCAGGUAGGACUACCCGCUGAACUUAAGCAUAUCAAUAAGCGGAGGAAAAGAAACUAACAAGGAUUCCCUCAGUAACUGCGAGUGAAGUGGGAAAAGCUCAAAUUUGAAAUCUGGCAGCUCUUUCAGGUUGUCCGAGUUGUAAUCUAGAGAAGCGUUACCUGUGUUGGACCGUGUAAAAGUCUUCUGGAAUGGAGCAUCAUAGAGGGUGAGAAUCCCGUCUUUGACAUGGACUACCAGCAUGCCAAGGUGCACUCUCAAAGAGUCGAGUUGUUUGGGAAUGCAGCUCAAAAUGGGUGGUAAAUGCCAUCUAAAGCUAAAUAUUGGCGAGAGACCGAUAGCGAACAAGUACCGUGAGGGAAAGAUGAAAAGAACUUUGGAAAGAGAGUUAAACAGUACGUGAAAUUGCUGAAAGGGAAACGCUUAAAGUCAGUCGCAUUAGCUGGAAAUCAGGCUUGCUUUUGCAAGGUGCACUUUCUAGUUGAUGGGUCAGCAUCAAUUUUGAUCGUUGGAUAAAGUCAUUGGGAAUGUGGCAUCUUUGGAUGUGUUAUAGCCCAGUGUUGAAUACAGCGGUCAGGAUUGAGGAAUUCAGCAUGCCUCUAGGGGCCAGGUUUCGACCAUGUUCAUGCUUAGGAUGCUGGCAUAAUGGCUUUAAUCGACCCGUC